UUUCAGAUUGAUUGCUAGGAGCAAGUUAUACAUUAAAGGAAGAAAAAAGAGAGAAAAGAACCUGGAGAGACUGAUACCACACAUCACGUCACUGAUACACAAGGUGGCAUUGCCAGGAUAGACUGACUGAGCAAAUCACCAAUUUAAUUUGGAAUUAAGUGCACUGAGGUGGAUAUUUUUUACAAUUAGUGAUGAUGUGGCUCAAGAAGUAAUUUAUUCCUUCUUUCUGGGAUAACUGAUGAAUUAUGUGCUUGUGACACAUGCUGACAGGGUGUAGUCAUACUUCUCAGGCACAGAUGAAUGACUGAGAAAACCCUCCCUGCUAUACAAUUAUUACUCAGCUUGCAUUCACAUGGGAAAUAGGUCUGAGCAGAGUGACUACAGCUUUGCUGCAUGGAGAGAGCUGGAAAGCUAGCUGCUGGUUGCAAAAGAAGCAAAACUCCCUGGGAUAAAAUUUGUCUGGUAUGGGAAGCAGUGAGUUUACUCUCAACCCUGGGGAGAGGCAGUGCAGCCACGGGGAGUGGCUUCUCCCUUCCCAUCAUCCCGGGUACAUCUUGCACCCAGGUAGGCUGUGCCCAGAAAACCUGUUGAGUCUUCUGUGAUGUCAUGGAAGACACAAAGGGACAUGAAGUUCAGAAAAUUUGUCUCUGAGGAUGAGGAGCUCAGCUUGCUUGCAGAACUGUUGUGAGCAUUGCAGUAGAGACAUAUCACCAACAGGCCCAUGGAGUUUAUCUCAGUUGCAUGCCUGCCAUCUUCCUAGUUAUUUAGGAAUACAUCUUGAGGGAUAGAAUAACAUCUGAGAGCUGAAUGAACCUCCUCGCUUCUGGUGGGCUGACCUCAGGAGGAAGUGGUAGAGAAAUCAGCUGGGAGUAACCAGCUAUUCAAAACAGAUCAAAAUCCUAACCAAGAAACUUCCUGAAAGGGUUACCGGGGAGAGGAUGUAGAAACACUCAGGACAUUCACAACCUGCUAGCCAGCAAACUUUUGGAAAGAAACGGCAAAGCAAGGCGGCCUCUCCUCUGCUAAUCGAGAGAAAUAAAGAGUUGAAAUACCCCCUGGAAGUGAUGGAAAAUCAGUAUUUUAACUUCUGAUGCUGUGUCAAGUACAUGGAAAGAAAAGAGAAGAAAACUCUCCUAUUUGUCUGCACAGCUGCAAGGAUAAGCUGCAAAGUGGAGCCAGAGAGCAGAACCUGGAAUGAGGAUGUGCUUGUUUGGAUGAACACAGUUUCCACGUAUAAAUGCAAUAAAGGGAAAACACUACAUAAAUUCACUUGCUGACUGUUUUGCUCCAGUGUCAUGGCCCAAGAACAAUCACCCAAACUCAUCCAUGUGCGAAAAUUGUAAUACUGGAAAGGGCUUCUAUGCUUUCUCUCCAUGGUAUUUCUUUACAAUGACAUUCCUCUGUAAGUGGAUACAGAAAUAACUUCAGAUUAUAAAUCGAAGCGGGCAGUACAAUCGAAGUUGUAUUUGUUUAGUG
Numida meleagris (helmeted guineafowl) is the source of this 1476-nucleotide long non-coding RNA. RefSeq lists it as uncharacterized. The transcript has 4 exons. NCBI's taxonomy places the organism in Eukaryota, Metazoa, Chordata, Aves, Galliformes, Numididae. The record is from RefSeq and is a predicted model, not a curated record.